UCGCGAAAACUUUACAAUGCUGGCAACAGCGAUAAGGGAACCUCGAGUGCCAGGUUACAGAUCUGGCUGUCGAGAUGCCUAAAAAGCAUUUCAUAGCAAGGGCCGGGCAAGACCGGUGCCAGCCGCCGCGGUAACACCGGCGGCUCGAGUGGUAACCGUUAUUAUUGGGUCUAAAGGGUCUGUAGCCGGCCGGAUAAGUCUCUUGAGAAAUCUGGCAGCUUAGCUGUCAGGCUUUCAGGAGAUACUGUCUGGCUCGAAGCCGGGAGAGGUGAGAGGUACUUCAGGGGUAGGGGUGAAAUCUUGUAAUCCUUGAAGGACCACCAGUGGCGAAGGCGUCUCACCAGAACGGACCUGACGGCAAGGGACGAAAGCUAGGGGCACGAACC
This 386-nucleotide ribosomal RNA is filed under the name uncultured prokaryote. Its description in RNAcentral is "bacterial SSU rRNA". It matches the Rfam family "Archaeal small subunit ribosomal RNA", at positions 339 to 725 of the family's 1478-position model. The record is from RNAcentral.